This 539-nucleotide long non-coding RNA is filed under the name Phasianus colchicus (ring-necked pheasant). Its description in RNAcentral is "lncRNA (ENSPCLG00000011374.1)". Lineage: Eukaryota; Metazoa; Chordata; Aves; Galliformes; Phasianidae. The record is from RNAcentral.
CUAUGUUGCGUAAGCUGGCAGCAGGGACACAGAAAAGUGCUAGUUUAGUUUUGUCACUAAAAGAACAGUCUUUGGAAAAGGAAUCACUGGUGGACAGUUGAAGUUGGGUGCAAAUUUACUGAAGAAGCUGAAGGAGAUUUAUUUCUCUCCCUGUGAGCACUGUUAAGAGAACACAGUACAAGAGAUACCAUUGCUCACAGCCACAUUCCCUCAUCAGGACUGCAGAUAAAAAGUGCAACUGUUCCCACAGAGAAGAGAAGAAGUUACGAGAAAAGGAUCAGAAAGACAACUGCUCUUUCCCAGAGCUGUUUCUGUCUGCUUGUUGACCAAGGUGACCUUCCGUCUCACAGGGCUUAUUUGAUAAGUAUCUCUGCCACAGUCCUACUUUAACAAAGGUAAACCCUCCAAAACAGCAGUUUCUCCUCCAAAAAAAGUUUCUCCAAAAUAAGCAUCUCCUCCACACAACUCUCCUGUCCAGGUUUCCAGGUCAAAGAGAGACAGGGACCCAGGCAAGUUUUCAUUUUCCUCUUGAACAUGGC